CCUACGGGUGGUCAGCAGUGGGGGAUAUUGCACAAUGGGGGAAACCCUGAUGCAGCGACGCCGCGUGGGUGAAGAAGCGCCUCGGCGCGUAAAGCCCUGUCAUCAGGGAAGAAAAUGCCGGUACCUGAAGACGACGCCCCGGCUAACUCCGUGCCAGCAGCCGCGGUAAUACGUAGGGGGCAAGCGUUAUCCGGAUUUACGGGGUGUAAAGGGGGCGCAGACGGCGAUGCAAGCCAGGAGUGAAAGCCCGGGGCCCAACCCCGGGACUGCUGUUGGAACUGCGUGGCUAGAGUGCGGGAGGGGCAGGCGGAAUUCCUGGUGUAGCGGUGAAAUGCGUAGAUAUCAGGAGGAACACCGGUGGCGAAGGCGGCCUGCUGGACUGCAACUGACGUUGAGGCCCGAAAGCGUGGGGAGAAAACAGGAUUAGAUACCCCAGUAGUC
Molecule: ribosomal RNA, 441 nt
Filed under: uncultured bacterium
Lineage: Bacteria
Description: partial 16S ribosomal RNA
Rfam family: Bacterial small subunit ribosomal RNA
Source: RNAcentral